GGAUGCGAUCAUACCAGUACUAAAGCGCCGGAUCCCAUCAGAACUCUGAAGUUAAGCGUGCUUGGGUGAGAGUAGUAUAGGAUGGGUGACCUCCUAGGAAGUCCUCGUGUUGUAUUCC
Molecule: non-coding RNA, 118 nt
Organism: Triticum urartu
Lineage: Eukaryota; Viridiplantae; Streptophyta; Magnoliopsida; Poales; Poaceae
Source: Rfam